RNAcentral lists this ribosomal RNA (538 nucleotides) under Lopholeucaspis japonica (Japanese maple scale). Its description in RNAcentral is "eukaryotic LSU rRNA". Lineage: Eukaryota; Metazoa; Arthropoda; Insecta; Hemiptera; Diaspididae. The record is from RNAcentral.
AUCUGGGCGGCGGAUUCAGGAUGGCGGGCGCGUUCUGCGUGUCCGUCGUUUGAUAUUUCCGUCGCCGCCGCAGACGUCGCGACCUGUUUGCCGUCGGUCCUUGUUCGAAGGAGUCGCGUUCGAGCUCGUUGCGGGUUGCGUCUCGGCGUGCCACGCGGCGAAGGCGCGUUCUUCUGGCUGACGGCGGACAGUAUGUAGCGGUGUCCGACGUCGUCGUCUCGUACGAGCGGCGUCGGUGCCGGUCGGCGACGAAUUCUUCGGGCCUCUUUCCGACCCGUCUUGAAACACGGACCAAGGAGUCUAACAUGCGCGCGAGUCGCGGGGUGUCGAGCGUACCUACGGGUGCGUUCGUUACGUUGCGAAACCCGUACAUGUAGAAGGCGUAAUGAAAGUGAAUAGGGAAGAUGGUGCUACCGAGUUCACGUUCCGCGAUCGUCGGUAUCGCGGCCGGUCACCCGCAUUCCCGGGGCGUCUCAACGGCCCGUCGCGGAUGCGGACAGUCGGCUCUCGGGUCGGCUGUCGGUCUGCGACGAACCGA